UUCAGUAAUGUGUGCAGCUGUAAUUCACUGAGGAAAAUUACCUUAUGCACUACCCUUACAAACUAUCUUCCCAC
This is a non-coding RNA of Sturnus vulgaris (Common starling), 74 nucleotides long. The record is from RefSeq and is a predicted model, not a curated record. Lineage: Eukaryota; Metazoa; Chordata; Aves; Passeriformes; Sturnidae.